RNAcentral lists this ribosomal RNA (1360 nucleotides) under uncultured bacterium. RNAcentral describes it as "bacterial SSU rRNA". It matches the Rfam family "Bacterial small subunit ribosomal RNA", at positions 28 to 1381 of the family's 1533-position model. The record is from RNAcentral.
GAUGAACGCUAGCUACAGGCUUAACACAUGCAAGUCGAGGGGCAGCGUGGUCUUAGCUUGCUAAGGCCGAUGGCGACCGGCGCACGGGUGAGUAACACGUAUCCAACCUGCCGUCUACUCUUGGACAGCCUUCUGAAAGGAAGAUUAAUACAAGAUGGCAUCAUGAGUCCACAUGUUCACAUGAUUAAAGGUAUUCCGGUAGACGAUGGGGAUGCGUUCCAUUAGAUAGUAGGCGGGGUAACGGCCCACCUAGUCUUCGAUGGAUAGGGGUUCUGAGAGGAAGGUCCCCCACAUUGGAACUGAGACACGGUCCAAACUCCUACGGGAGGCAGCAGUGAGGAAUAUUGGUCAAUGGGCGAGAGCCUGAACCAGCCAAGUAGCGUGAAGGAUGACUGCCCUAUGGGUUGUAAACUUCUUUUAUAAAAGGAAUAAAGUCGGGUAUGGAUACCCGUUUGCAUGUACUUUAUGAAAUAAGGAUCGGCUAACUCCGUGCCAGCAGCCGCGGUAAUACGGAGGAUCCGAGCGUUAUCCGGAUUUAUUGGGUUUAAAGGGAGCGUAGAUGGAUGUUUAAGUCAGUUGUGAAAGUUUGCGGCUCAACCGUAAAAUUGCAGUUGAUACUGGAUACCUUGAGUGCAGUUGAGGCAGGCGGAAUUCGUGGUGUAGCGGUGAAAUGCUUAGAUAUCACGAAGAACUCCGAUUGCGAAGGCAGCCUGCUAAGCUGCAACUGACAUUGAGGCUCGAAAGUGUGGGUAUCAAACAGGAUUAGAUACCCUGGUAGUCCACACGGUAAACGAUGAAUACUCGCUGUUUGCGAUAUACAGCAAGCGGCCAAGCGAAAGCGUUAAGUAUUCCACCUGGGGAGUACGCCGGCAACGGUGAAACUCAAAGGAAUUGACGGGGGCCCGCACAAGCGGAGGGACAUGUGGUUUAAUUCGAUGAUACGCGAGGAACCUUACCCGGGCUUAAAUUGCAGAUGAAUUACGGUGAAAGCCGUAAGCCGCAAGGCAUCUGUGAAGGUGCUGCAUGGUUGUCGUCAGCUCGUGCCGUGAGGUGUCGGCUUAAGUGCCAUAACGAGCGCAACCCUUGUUGUCAGUUACUAACAGGUUCCGCUGAGGACUCUGACAAGACUGCCAUCGUAAGAUGUGAGGAAGGUGGGGAUGACGUCAAAUCAGCACGGCCCUUACGUCCGGGGCUACACACGUGUUACAAUGGGGGGUACAGAGGGCCGCUACCACGCGAGUGGAUGCCAAUCCCAAAAACCUCUCUCAGUUCGGACUGGAGUCUGCAACCCGACUCCACGAAGCUGGAUUCGCUAGUAAUCGCGCAUCAGCCACGGCGCGGUGAAUACGUUCCCGGGCCU